This is a long non-coding RNA of Esox lucius (northern pike), 2516 nucleotides long. NCBI's taxonomy places the organism in Eukaryota, Metazoa, Chordata, Actinopteri, Esociformes, Esocidae. The record is from Ensembl.
ACAUCCCAAACACACUGUCCCCCCCGCAUCCCAAACACACUGUCCCCCCCACAUCCCAAACACACUGUCCCCCCCACAUCCCAAACACACUGCCCCCCACCCCUCCCGUUUUGUACAUACCUGACCCCCCUCCCCAUUUGUCUACACACAGAGUAGACACAAGUGUUCACACAGAGUUAGAUAGAGGACUAGAGGUAUGUACUGAUUGUUGCCAUUUAAAGGAUUGUUGUCAUUAUAAAGUAGGUGUCAACUAGGUGCGCAUUUCUGUGAGUUGUAAUUUGGGUAUUACAUGAAACAUUUUUAACGUUAUAUCACUACCAUCUAGUGGCCACUAUAAAUAAGUAACAAGGCUCCGGCACUUAAUGGCCAUGCUAAACCCCCAACAUUCACUUAAACACUUGUUCUCAUAAUCUCACAUAUGAAGGCGAGACCUGUAUCUAACUCUGUGUUCACCCCAUAUCUACCUGUUGUUCUCCUGACGUGUUUUAAAGAGUGUAAUUAUUUAUUGGUCCAGAAGAAGGAACAGCGUGUGAACGGUAGGGGAGGGGCAUUUUCUCCAUAUAGUAUUCUUCGUGUAGGUCAAAGCUAAGGUAUGGUGAAGUUUAUUUUUUUUUAGACAAAGAUGACACCAUUAGUCAUUCGGUGGGUUCCAUAAAACAAGGGGGUGCCGUGUUGACGCGUGCCGCCCAGCUCUCUGACUAAAGUGACAUCCUUGCACUCUUUUCUAGACCUUAACCUGUAGACUCUCCGGGAGUAUUUUUUGUGCUCAUAUCAGUUUUUGUACGCUCACCUUCAGUCUACGGAAGGAUGUCGGGUGUACGCACUCCACCUGUUCUGUUGCAAGGGUAUUUAACAGGUAGGGUCUUAGCGUUCUGAUAGCAAACUUUAGUUUUAGGACUUCUGUUUGGAAUAGUGAUUACACCCCAGACCACUACUGUUCUGACUUUCUCUUGGAUCAUAAGCACCUGAUCCUGCUGCAUUAGAAACAUUUCUGCCAGGGAGCUGGGUGAAUCACGAACAUUUGCUUGUUUACAGGUGACACUCUUCUGAAACAGUCAGUAAGGAAAACAACACCUACACUGUUUGAGUAGACCAGCCUGAUCUCGUGGGCACAAAUUGUUUUCCGUUUGAGUGAACAAAAGUGUGAAAACAGCAAUCGCUUUGGCAUCAUGAGGCUGGCGUGACUGACCUUACUGUUCAGAAACGACCCACAGAUACGAAAACGUGCACAAUCUGUGUUUUUUCAUUAGUGUCAGCAUAAACCCGCCAACAUCUAAAAUGUAACAUAUCUGUUUUGACUUGUCUCCUACAUUCAUUUUUAUGUGAAGGUAACUUUUGUAAGUACUGCAGUCAGUUAGUUACUGCAGGUAUAGAUUUUAAUAAAGUCAAUGUUCUUUUGUUCUACAUGCGCAAGACUGUUUGAAAAGAUUCAGCACCCUAUGACACUUGAUUAACUGCAUUCUGUGCUCUGCGUCAGUUCUAGGAAUGACAACCCAACUGUUUCCAUGGUGCCUAGGAUGGUGACGUCAUAGCUGAGAAUAUACACUGCCUUGCAAACAUAUUCAAGGCUCUGAACAAAUCUACCAUAUCACUGGAUUACAAAUGCUGGGAGACGAACACACACCCACCCACCCUGCAGGAAAGGAGCAGAAGGAUAAAACUUUUCGUCUUUCACACGCACACCCACGUAUUCUGAUGUCUCUUUGUCCUGUGGCUUUUAAUGUCGCUGUAAUAUGGAAGCCUGCAGAGGUUUGUGUGUGUAUGAGUCAUCGGUGGUCCCACCAGCUCUCUUCUCAUCGUCCUGAGCCAAGCCGACACAACAGGGUCACCCUGCACCUCAGGACACACGCCAGAGACCCAGCAUGUGAGAAGAGCUGCUGGCGGAGUAACUGGGAGCUUGUUCACAUGAUCCAGGCUGUCAGCUAGCCCAGUUGUUGCUGCUAGCUCAUCAUCCUAGCAGUUGUGGCUGUUUACCUCACAGUUGGCAGCAGAUUGGGACUGGGAGCUGGCUGGCUAACCGUAAUACAACCAGGUGGAUUCACACACACCCAGCAUCUCUGGGACAGUUGGAAAAGAGUUUGGGGAGCCACCGCGGGUUGUCCUUCUUGUUCGAAGGAUUUUUGGAAGGAGAAUGGGGUUGUGGGACGGAAGCUGUGCAGACAGCUCUGCUCAAGUCAAGCACCAACUGCGGAUGGCUUUGAGGUCAAAAUAGGAAUAUCCAAGUCAUGUGACUCGUCCACAUCUCUGCUAAUAGGCAAAAGUUUGAAAACACUUCAACAUUGAAUUAUCACUCUCUAUGUCCACCUGACAUUCCCUACUGGUCACUCCCUAUUAUCAGCCUUUUCUAGGCUAAAGUUCAAAAUGUAAAUGCACUGGAAAACAACAGCGUUUUGCCAUUAAAUACACCCUUUCAGCUAGCCCACCACUGUUUUUUAUUGAAAGGUAUGUUUGAGAUAAAAUAUUAUUUAUGUACGGACAAGUGGCAACUCGUGGAAUUCAUCUUGCCCCACUGACCA